This 301-nucleotide ribosomal RNA is filed under the name uncultured bacterium. RNAcentral describes it as "partial 16S ribosomal RNA". It matches the Rfam family "Bacterial small subunit ribosomal RNA", at positions 509 to 807 of the family's 1533-position model. The record is from RNAcentral.
CAGUCGCCGCGGUAAAACGGAGGGUGCAAGCGUUAAUCGGAAUUACUGGGCGUAAAGCGCACGCAGGCGGUCUGACAAGUCAGAUGUGAAAUCCCCGGGCUUAACCUGGGAACUGCAUUUGAAACUGUCAGGCUGGAGUCUUGUAGAGGGGGGUAGAAUUCCAGGUGUAGCGGUGAAAUGCGUAGAGAUCUGGAGGAAUACCGGUGGCGAAGGCGGCCCCCUGGACAAAGACUGACGCUCAGGUGCGAAAGCGUGGGGAGCAAACAGGAUUAGAUACCCGCGUAGUCCCUGUCUCUUAUAC